GCGGCGUGCUUAACACAUGCAAGUCGAACGGAAAGGCCCUGCUUUUGUGGGGUGCUCGAGUGGCGAACGGGUGAGUAACACGUGAGUAACCUGCCCUUGACUUUGGGAUAACUUCAGGAAACUGGGGCUAAUACCGGAUAGGAGCUCCUGCUGCAUGGUGGGGGUUGGAAAGUUUCGGCGGUUGGGGAUGGACUCGCGGCUUAUCAGCUUGUUGGUGGGGUAGUGGCUUACCAAGGCUUUGACGGGUAGCCGGCCUGAGAGGGUGACCGGCCACAUUGGGACUGAGAUACGGCCCAGACUCCUACGGGAGGCAGCAGUGGGGAAUAUUGCACAAUGGGCGGAAGCCUGAUGCAGCAACGCCGCGUGCGGGAUGACGGCCUUCGGGUUGUAAACCGCUUUCGCCUGUGACGAAGCGUGAGUGACGGUAAUGGGUAAAGAAGCACCGGCUAACUACGUGCCAGCAGCCGCGGUGAUACGUAGGGUGCGAGCGUUGUCCGGAUUUAUUGGGCGUAAAGGGCUCGUAGGUGGUUGAUCGCGUCGGAAGUGUAAUCUUGGGGCUUAACCCUGAGCGUGCUUUCGAUACGGGUUGACUUGAGGAAGGUAGGGGAGAAUGGAAUUCCUGGUGGAGCGGUGGAAUGCGCAGAUAUCAGGAGGAAUACCAGUGGCGAAGGCGGUUCUCUGGGCCUUUCCUGACGCUGAGGAGCGAAAGCGUGGGGAGCGAACAGGCUUAGAUACCCUGGUAGUCCACGCUGUAAACGGUGGGUACUAGGUGUGGGGUCCAUUCCACGGGUUCCGUGCCGUAGCUAACGCUUUAAGUACCCCGCCUGGGGAGUACGGCCGCAAGGCUAAAACUCAAAGGAAUUGACGGGGCCCCGCACAAGCGGCGGAGCAUGCGGAUUAAUUCGAUGCAACGCGUAGAACCUUACCUGGGUUUGACAUGGAUCGGGAGUGCUCAGAGAUGGGUGUGCCUCUUUUGGGGUCGGUUCACAGGUGGUGCAUGGCUGUCGUCAGCUCGUGUCGUGAGAUGUUGGGUUAAGUCCCGCAACGAGCGCAACCCUUGUUCACUGUUGCCAGCACGUUAUGGUGGGGACUCAGUGGAGACCGCCGGGGUCAACUCGGAGGAAGGUGGGGAUGACGUCAAGUCAUCAUGCCCCUUAUGUCCAGGGCUUCACGCAUGCUACAAUGGCUGGUACAGAGAGUGGCGAGCCUGUGAGGGUGAGCGAAUCUCGGAAAGCCGGUCUCAGUUCGGAUUGGGGUCUGCAACUCGACCUCAUGAAGUCGGAGUCGCUAGUAAUCGCAGAUCAGCAACGCUGCGGUGAAUACGUUCCCGGGGCUUGUACACACCGCCCGUCAAGUCAUGAAAGUUGGUAACACCCGAAGCCGGUGGCCUAACCGAUGUGGGGGAGCCGUCGAAGGUGGGACUGGUGA
This 1428-nucleotide ribosomal RNA is filed under the name uncultured organism. RNAcentral's name for it is "16S ribosomal RNA". It matches the Rfam family "Bacterial small subunit ribosomal RNA". The record is from RNAcentral.